Molecule: long non-coding RNA, 880 nt
Filed under: Homo sapiens (human)
Lineage: Eukaryota; Metazoa; Chordata; Mammalia; Primates; Hominidae
Description: long non-coding RNA NONHSAT215475.1
Source: RNAcentral
GAAAGAGGCUGUUGCUUUGGGAAUGAUGCAGAGUGGAGAAAAAGAACAGCCAAAAGAGGCUAGACUUGAGAGAAAUUACAGUAAUUCAGUAAAAGCAGGAAAUAAUAGAAAAACAUUGACUCCAAAGAUCCUGGAAGGUGCCAGCAAGUGAGGUUAGGUUUCCCACUGUAGAUGUAAUGGAAACAUGGUUUCCCCACCAACUUCGAGGCUUGAGAGCAUUCAGAAAAAGUUUGGUCAACCUUGUAGGGGAACCAGCCCGCUAUACCACCCGCGGGUUCUCCCCUUCCCAGUGGAGACGAGGGAAUGAGAAAAGAAAUAAAGACAAACACACAAAGUUCAAGAGUUAACAAAAGUGGGUCCAGGGGUCCAUCGCAAUGUGGAAACUGCGACAGCCCUGAGCUCUGGAUUCCACUGAUAUUUACUGAAUAAUCCUUAAAGUCCAACUAAUUGGUUAACAGAACAGGACGUGAAAGCAGACAGCCCGUCAGACCACAGGCCUGUGCAUCAAAGGAGCGGUCCACUCCAAGCACCAUCAGCAGGGCAGCAGAGCUCUCUGCCUCUGGGAACGAGCGAGAGAUAGAAGACUUUCCCCUUAUCCUCAGAGGACUUCUCCUCUUUUACAAGCAACCUCCUGCUGUUCCCUUCUGGGGAAUGGAGCAGGGGUCGCUUCCCUUCCCACAAGACCUUUGUUCAGGGACUCAAGUGGGAGGUUGAGCAAUAAGCAAGCUUUCUUGCUUAGAGGCUCCGCACACUUCCUGUGGUUGUUUGUUCCACCCUGCAGUUAGGCAAGCAAGCUCACCGCCUGAUUCUUAUAUUGUCGGACUAAGCAGAAGCUAUUCUUAUGAUUCAUGACUAUAUUAAUAAAGCACUAUUCUAAAGC